GAAAGUUGACAUCAUUGACUGAGCUGCAUUUGCAAUCUACGGCCAUUGAAGAAUUACCUAAAUCUAUUGGUUCAUUGAAGGAGCUCAAGACUCUAGAUGCCUCUUAUUGCACAUCGUUAGCCCGCAUACCCAACUCAAUAGGCAAGUCACUAUCUUUGUCUCGCCUUGACCUAACAGGAUGCCAUAAACUUGCUCAACUUCCAGACUUUAUAGGCUCCCUUGUAUCUCUACAACAGUUGUUAUUGUCGGGAUGCCACUUGUUGAGACAAAUCCCAAACUCGAUUGGAAAGUUGACAUCAUUGACAGAGCCGCAUUUGAAAUCUACGGCCAUUGAAGAAUUACCUGAAUCCAUUGGUUCUUUGAAGGAGCUCAAGACUCUAGAUGCCUCUUAUUGUGCAUCGUUAGCCCGCAUACCCAACUCAAUAGGCAAUUCAAUAUCUCUGUCUCACAUUGACCUAACAGGAUGUCAUAAACUUGCUCAACUUCCAGACUCUAUAGGCUCCCUCAUGUCUCUACAGUGGUUGUCAUUGUCAGGAUGCCACUCAUUGAGACAAAUCCCAUACUCGAUUGAAAAGUUGACAUCACUGACUGAGCUACAUUUGAAAUUUAAAGUUAUUGAAAGAUUACCUAAAUCCAUUAGUCUUUUUAAGGAGCUCAAGACUCUAGAUGGCUCUUAUCAUGCAUCGUUAGCCUAUAGACCCACUUCAAUAGGCAAUUCAACGUCUCCGUCUUGUCUUGUCCUAAC
RNAcentral lists this long non-coding RNA (745 nucleotides) under Eucalyptus grandis. RNAcentral's name for it is "long non-coding RNA (EGRA_LNC001423)". Lineage: Eukaryota; Viridiplantae; Streptophyta; Magnoliopsida; Myrtales; Myrtaceae. The record is from RNAcentral.